Pelobates cultripes (western spadefoot toad) is the source of this 212-nucleotide non-coding RNA. NCBI's taxonomy places the organism in Eukaryota, Metazoa, Chordata, Amphibia, Anura, Pelobatidae. The record is from the annotation of a GenBank genome assembly.
GGAACACUAUAGCGUUUGGAAUACAAAACUGUAUUCAUAUAGUUAUAGUGUCACUGAUUCCAUCAAUACUUUCUGAUGGGGAUUUUGAAAAUGUCCUCAUGCACAGCCAUGUCAUUUCACGGAAUUAAACUCCUUGAAAAUGCAGGAAGCCUGUCUAGAUGGUUGUCUGGAAGACGAGCACUAGAGGUUGUCUUAACCCUGCAAUGUUUUAC